CCACCUCUUCUAUGCUUUUUCCUUCUUCUUCAUUCAAAAACCCCUCUACGGCCCAUAACUCAACAAGUGCAUUUACAUAAAUCCGUUCAUCCUCUGCGAAAAUUGCAAAAUACAGAAAACACGGUUUUAGGUGAGAAGGCAAGUGAUGGUAACUCAAAGCCAACACUCUCAUGCAUUUUGCUUCAAGAUCUCUGCUUACCACCGAACUUACAUUCUCCGCAACAUUUUGCCACUCAUCCAAUGUUUUACUGAUUUUGGAGAGAAGUCCAGCAAUCAAAGUAAUUUCUAGAGGUAACCCUCCACAUUUUAAUGCAAUUUGUUUCCCAAUAUUUUCAAAUUCAGGAGAAUAAGAACCUUCUUUUUCAAAGAUCUUUUUGUGUAGUAAAUUCCAACUUUCGUCAAAAUUCAUGAGGCGCAUNNNNNNNNNNNNNNNNNNNNNNNNNNNNNNNNNNNNNNNNNNNNNNNNNNNNNNNNNNNNNNNNNNNNNNNNNNNNNNNNNNNNNNNNNNNNNNNNNNNNNNNNNNNNNNNNNNNNNNNNNNNNNNNNNNNNNNNNNNNNNNNNNNNNNNNNNNNNNNNNNNNNNNNNNNNNNNNNNNNNNNNNNNNNNNNNNNNNNNNNNNNNNNNNNNNNNNNNNNNNNNNNNNNNNNNNNNNNNNNNNNNNNNNNNNNNNNNNNNNNNNNNNNNNNNNNNNNNNNNNNNNNNNNNNNNNNNNNNNNNNNNNNNNNNNNNNNNNNNNNNNNNNNCAUGUUCAGGUAAACUGACAAGUGAGCUAGUUUGUGGUUUUAGAUCUUUCAUGCUGUCCGAUGCUGCCAUCCACUGUUUCACGGUGGAAUCAAUGUAUUCUAGUGCUUGUUCCAAGACGAAAAAAAUCUCCCACAUAGCCCUGCUUCUUUCCUCCAAAUUCUGUGCUAAAAAAACAUUUCUUGAUUCCGAGUCAACCAUAUCUUCUGUUGUGUAUGCUACCUCUGCGAUUUCAACUUCCAAGAUUGUUAACCCCUCAUGAUCGCCCAUUAUAUUGCAGGAUUUCUCCAGAAUAGCUCUCAAAGAUUUGAGCUUUUCAUAAAACGGUUGCAAAUCACAUCCAGUAAGUUCCAUUGAUUGAUGUAUGGUUCUCAUAAGGGAAGUAACAGCAGCAUAAGCCAUAUAUCCAAAAAAUAGAAAUAUCUCUCAGUAUGAAAAUGGACAAAUUGCCACAAGUUAUGUAAUUUUUCAGUUUUUAAGAAAACAGAAAAUGCAAAGUUCUUUCUUUUACUAGCUAUUUCCAUCACAUUUCCAGCUAGGUCCACCAACCUUAUCAUCAUGUAGACAAAAGCAGAGACCAAAGUUAAAAAAAAGUAGAAAAAUUUGUGAUCAUUCAUUAUUAGACCGUACACAUAUCUAUUCAUGAAUAUAAGUAUGCUUCUUACAUACAAGAGAUUGAUGAUUUUAAUUACAUUGAAAGCAACUUAGUAGAAUUUUCCAAAUCAAAGAGAGAAAUAUUAAGAUCCAAGUAGGAAUUUCUCUAUUCCUAGUUCGAUUCAAUUAACCAAGCAUAAAUAUCUCUUAAUAUACAUGAGAAGUUUAGACUCUAAAAGUCAAAUCAACAAAAUAUUUAUGGGCUAACACAUGAAAAACUAUUGAGAAAAUCGCCUAAUUUCUGUAAAUUGGCCCUUAAAUCUCCAAAAUGAACUCUAAAAAUUGUCAGACUGUACGUAUUGCUCCCCAACUCCCUACUGAGGGUUCUGUAAAGAUUUCGAUUAGAAUUCGUCCGUAAGUCAUAUCACCAAUAUAUUAAUGACUAACACACACGAAAAACUGAGAAAAUUGUCUAAUUUCUUGAAAUUGGCCCCUAAAUGCCUAAAAUGGACUCUAAAAGUUGUGAGACUGUACGUACUGCUCCCCCGACUCCCUACAGAGGGUUUCGUAAAUGUGUAGCAAAGAAAUCGUCUGGAAGUCAUAUCACUAUAAUAUUAAUGGGCUAACACACACAAACCACUGAGAAAGUCGCGUAUUCCUGUAAAUUGGCCCCUAAAUGCCCAAAAUGAACUCUAAAAUUGUGAGACUAUGUACUGCUCCACUAACUCCCUAUGGAGGGUUCCGUAAAGAUUUCACAAAGAAAUUAUUCGGAAGACAUAUCACCAAAAUAUUUAUGGGCUAAUACAUUUUUAUUUGUCCAUUUGAUUUGACAUAUCUUUCAAGUACUUUGAUCUGGUUAUACUUUUUUUUUAUUGCUAAAAAUAAAUAUCCACUUUUACUUGUUCAUUCUACAAAACAAAGACAAUAUUUUAUUGCUUGAUUCAGAUAUAAAAUUUGAGUAGGCUAAUUUACAAACCAUCUGUAGUCAUCCUGCCCCUAUGCUAUAACAUUUGAAAGAAAGAGGUCAUCAUCAUCAUAUUCAUCAUCGUUGUCAUCUUCAUCAUCAUCUUCAUCAUCGUUGUCAUCUUCAUCAUCAUCUUCAUCUUCUUCAUCAUUAUCAUCAUCAUCAUCAUGAUCGUCAUCGUCACUUGUUUCCUCACUGUUGAAAAAGCCAGCAACAAAAGAUGAAAAAUGAAAUGUUAUGCAAGUAUAACAAGUUACACAAUUACUAUAUUGGAAGGAUUUAAAUCAUAUACAAUGACAACGUAUGAACUUUUACACUAUAGGUGCCAUUUAACUGCUUAUUAAAGCAAUUUAUAAUUAUUUUAUUACUAGUUCUGGACACGUGCUUUGCAUGUGUAUAUUACACGUUUAGUCACGAUUGUAAGAGGGUGUACACCAGGAUCAUUCGAAGAGCAAAGUCGUGUGAGCCUUACAGAUAUUCUUGACGUACUCCUAUUAAAAUCUGUAUCAUAUUCGUAACUUUUUGAAUGAGGUUCACCUUUUUCCUCAUUGUACUUUGUACAUGGAUGUUGUCCAUCACAAUAUCCCCUUUUUCAAAUUUCAUAGCUGAACUACUAGGUGUACGAGUUCCUACCAGAACUACUACCAACUAUUUAUCAAAACACACAUCAACUAUAUAUGAGUUGUUCCCUUUUACUAGUGGUGACAAAUAGGUGGAUUUGGACGGGACUGAAAAUGGAUUGAGCAACAUGGUCGUAACUCACUUAAUCUCUUAAAGCCAGAAAACUUUAAAGAGUUAAUUGAAAUAAACUUAAUGACUAUCCUACUUGAAGUAUCACCGUCGUUCAGGUAAGAAAAAGGAAGUAUAUCAAGGAAGAAGAUGUCUUACAAAGCCUGAUGGAUAUGGACCUCGAUAGAACCUCCAUAGUUGUCUUGAAUGUCCUGUUGAAUCUGCUUUGCGGAAUUCCCAACAGAUUCUGGGCAGUUUCUUAUAUAGAUUAGAGCAAGUGUGGUUAUAUCUGCAAAAUCUUGAGGGAUUGAGUCCAAAAACCUGCAACUAUCAAGAAAUAGUCGUUCAAGGCACGGAAAGUGAUCACAACUAGCUCUCCAGUACUGAAUAUGUGAUCUUUUAAGUAACAAGAACUUCAAAAAAGGAAACCCUUCCUCAGCUACUUCCCACUCCCUGCCUCUGCAUACACCCUGUGUUAGUUCAAGAAGUUCAAGUUUGGGCAAUUUUCCGACAACAAUGCUUAAAUCCUUCCAUGACAAGAAGAAAUUUCCUGUAAAAGUUAAAUUCUUAAGGUUUCGUGGAAAAGCAUCUGGAGGAGGUAAGAUCAAAGAUGGAACAACUUCUACAACAAGUGGAUUCCUUGUCUGAAAACACAUUCUCCUCUCCAAAAAGUAAGCAUUAUUUUGAGGAGGAAGACAAAAUGCUAGUUCCUCGAGAUGAUCUAAGUAGCGAAAAUCAUAGAGGUCUUUGUGACUAUGGAAGUCUUGUGGGAUGCCACGUACUUGCAACUCCUUUAAAUUGGGAAAUAGUCUAAAGAAAGAUGCAGUACAAUAGCUAGGAUUCCAUCCAAACAGAGAAUGUAAAUUUUUCAUAACCAAACUUUUCUCUGUAAGCUCAUGAUAUCGCAAGUAAUUCCGAUCCAAAUGAAGGUGCCUCAACUGUGGCAUUGUCAAAAUAUCUGAUGGUAAUAUCAAAGCAUGUUUACGAAGAUUAAUGACGAGUGGAAGGUAAAGUACCAAACUUUGCAGAUAGCAUAGGUUUGAUAUGGAUGUAGGAAUGUCUACUCUUGAUGAGAGAACAUCUUCUUCGGAUCCUAGAUAUUGCUCAACGUUAGGAUAAAUACGCAAAGCUAGGUGUCUUAAGUGAAUCAAAUAAAGUAUUUCACGGGGAAAAGUUAGACAGAUAUUAUCAGCAAGAUCUAGAACUCUUACUAGCUUGAACGGCAAGUACUCCCUCAUGCAACAUCGGAAUCUACCAAAUAAGAUAACAGAAUGAGCUUCACUGUUAAGGCACCUAACAUACUCUUUCUUAUUAUGGAUGCUGAUUCGACUUCGACUCUUAGACAAACACUGCAUGGAUUUCACAUAUGAAUUUUGAUCAUUCUUUCUUCUGAGAACAUUCACAAAAUUCAUGUUACGAGCUUCCAUCAAACAGAGUUCACGAGUCAUAUCAUGAAUUCCACAACACUUAAUUUUUCCAUCAAAAGUAGUACUUUUAAUGGAAAUUAAACUUCUAUCAAUAAGAUCUUGUAGGUACUUUUCUGCCACUUCUUCUAUGCUUUUCAUCUCUUCUACCUUCAAAAAUCCCUCUGUUUCCCACAAUAUCAUAAGUUUAUUGACAAAAAUCAGUUUAUCCUCUGGGAAGAUUGCGAAAUAUAAAAAGCAUGGUUUUAGGUGGUGAGGCAAGUAAUGGUAACUCAUUGCCAACACCCUCAUGCAUUGGACACCAACAUCUGUGCUUACUGCUGAACUUACAUUUUCAGCAACACUUUGCCACUCACUCAAUGCUUUGUCAAUUUUAGUGAGAAGUCCCGCGAUCACAACAAUUGCUAGAGGCAAUCCUCCGCAUUUCAAUGCAAUUUGCUUUCCAAGUUGUUCAUAUUCAGGGGAGAAAGAGUCUUUCGUAAAGACUUUUUCAUAUAAUAAAUUCCAACUUUCGUCAAAAUUCAUGAGGCGCAUGUGAUGAGGAAGCUUACCUGAGCUAGCAUAUUCAGCCACUUCCACAUUCCGAGUAGUCAAGAGUAUUCGGCUUCCAUUAUGAAAGUCUGGGAAACAUAUUUGUAUAUCAUCCCAAGCUUUUGUAGUCCAUAUGUCAUCAAUGACUACCAAAUAUCUCUUGCCUUUUAGAAGCUUUUGCAGUCGAUCUGCUAGUUGCCCGUCAUGUAGCUGAUCAUAAGGUUUAUCACUUAUACAAGAAAGAAGGUCUAGGAAAACAUUUCUCACACAAUACUCUUGUGAAACAGUAGCUUUUGCACGUAUGUCAAAGCGAUACAUCAUGCAUGGAUCGUUGUAGAGUUUUGUUGCCAAAGUUGUCUUGCCAAUGCCUCCCAUACCUACAAUUGAUACAACUUCUAGUUCUCUUUCUCCUCUAGCAAGUUGAUCCAGCAUCAUCUUGAAUUCAUUUUCAUAGCCAACCAUUAUAACCUCGGACCGCUCAACAGCAAGUUCAGGUAUCUUGGAUAGACAGAAAUUUUGUGCUUUGAAAUCUUUAAUGUUGUUGUACCAGUCCCAUAUUGCCAACCACUGCAUCAUGAAGGAAUCAAUACAUUCUACCUCUUGUUCCAAGGAACAACAGAGUUCCCAGAAAGCUUUGCUUCGUGUAAUUACAGUUUCUGCAGAAGAAACUUUUCUUGAUUUCGAAUCAACCAUGUCUUCUGCUUUGAAUGCUACCUCCGUGAUUUCAACUUCCAAGGUUGUUAACCCCUCAUGAUCGCCCGUUAUAUUGCAGGAUUUCUCUAGAAUAGCUCUCAAAGAUUCGAGCUUUUCAUAAAACGGUUGCAAAUCACAUCCAUUAAGUUCCAUUGAUUGGUGUAUGGUUCUCAUAAGGGAAGUAACAGCAGCAUAAGCCAUAUAUCCAAAAAAUAGGAAUCUCUCACUCUCAGUAUGAAAAUGGACAAAUUAAUUGCCACAAGUUAUGUAAUCUUUCUUUUACUAACUAUUUCCAUCACAUUUCUAGCUAGGUCCACUAACAGGAUAAAGUAGAAAGAUGUGAGGUCACUAACCUUAUCAUCAUGAAGACAAAAGAAGAGACCAAAGUUAAAAAAAAAAAAAGACGAAAAAGUAGAAAAAAUUGUGAUCAUUCAUUAUUAGACCCUACACUAAUCUCUUCAGAAAAAUAAAAUAAAAUUUUAGUUUAAAUAAAGGAAUUCAAGCUGUAUAUUGAUAACGUCCAAUUCAAAUUCAAGUGUAGUACGGUCUAGCAAUAAUAAACUCAACAAAAGUUGGAGUCGAGGAGUACGCUUGUGUCAAGGUGACAGAGAGUGUGCGAAUUUGCUAACAAACAAAAGGUCUUUCUUUUAGCUAGGUCCAUAAUCCAUGUAGUGCUCUAUACUCUCUAGUCUCUAUCAACCAGCUCAAGUUUAAGGGUGUGUUUGGUAUGGAGGAAACAUUUUCUCUAGAAUAGGGAGAGAUUUGUGCAUAAACAAGGAAGAAUCUCUCAGUAUAACAGUGAAUGGGUAUUUUUUUAAGAUUUGCUUCUUUUGUGUAUGACUUUUGUAAGAAACAUUCUGGUAAAAGUUAAAAAAAAUGAUCUUGUGGAAUAGCCACAGUGAAUUCCUUAAUAUUCGAGUAGAAAAAGCCAGAGAGGAUAACAUUGCUAUUUGUACACUUAUCGUGACACGAGUAGUCUCUUAAAUAUUACACCUUUCUACUGAUGUUGCUGAUGCCACUGGAUUUAGCCUUCCGUCUUCCUUUGCAAGGUAGAUCGAGGACUCCCAAGAAAGGAAACACAAGUUACUGGAGUCUGUUCUGGCCUAUACAGUAUGUAUGUACAUAAAAUUUGGAGUAUCUAAAAACCACUGACAAAUGGCUAUACGAAAGAUCAUAUACAAUUAAAUUACAAGCCAUUUGCAAUCAUCCUGCCCCUUUAUGCAGAAUCUUUUCAAAGAAAAUGAAAACGAACAAAACAAACACUCACACAUUUGGCUUCUGAUUUGACAUUUAUUUCAGAGAACUGGCUAGUCGCUGCAGGAAAAAAAAAGACGCAAAAAAUGGAAAAUAAUAUGUUAGAUGUCCCAUAAUUAAGGAACAAGAGAACAUUAUAGCAAGAAUGAGCAUGCAGGUAUAAGAACUUACACAUUAUUGCGGCAAGAAGCAACUUCUUUCUCAAAGUCAUCAUCAUCAUCUUCAUCUGUUGUUACACUAUCGAAAAUGCUAGCUACAAAAGAUGAAAAAUGAAAUGUUACACUUCCCAAAAUCAAGAAUGAGCAUGCAAGUAUAACAAGUUACACAAUAUUGGAAGGAUUCGAAUCAAUCACAAUGACAGCAUCAAGAACUUUUGUUGAAUUGGUGUAAUUUGACUUACUAAAGCUAUUAUCCAGAUUAUUAUCGAGUUUACUAUAAUGAUGAGUUAAAUAUUGUUGUAAAUCAAGGAAGAAGAUGUCUUACUAAAGAUUACGAGUAUGGACCUCGAUAGAGCUUCCAUAGUUGUCUUGAAUGUCCUGUUGAAUUUGCUUGGCGGAAUUCCCAACAGAUUGUUGACAGUAAUGUAUAUCAAUAAGAGCUAGUGUGGUUAUAUCUGCAAAAUCUCGAGGGAUUGAAUCCAAAUACUCGCAAUUUCUAAGAAAAAGUCGUUCAAGGUACGGAAAGUGAUCACUACUAGCUCUCCAGUACCGAAUGUAUAUUUGAUCCAGAAACAAGAACUUCAAGUGAGGAAACCCUUCCUCAACUACUUCCCACUCCUCGCCUAUGACGGCAUUGUGUGAUAGUUUAAGGACCUCGAGUUUGGGUAAUUUACCAACAAUGCUCAAAUCCUUCCAUGCCAAAAGGAAAUCUCCUCUAAAAGUUAAACUCUGGAAAAGAUUAAUUAACAAAAAUUUAUGGUACUAAUUGGGGUAUUAAUUAACAUAUCCUUACUUGAUCACAUAUGUAUUGUUCUGUGUGAAAUUUUCCUCUGACUGAUAGUUGACUAAAUUAUAUUGCAUACGUUCGUGUACAUUUUCUCACUUGGAAGAGUGGAUUUGGACGUAAUUAACUAUCACCAUCGUUUAGGUAGAAAAAAGAAAAUAACUAAUAGUUGAAUGUUUUAAUACAUAGAUGAUCAACUAAUAUGAGAAGAAAAGAGUAGCGUAAAUGUGAGAUUCACUUCUCACCAAGAAUCCUCCUUUCUUAUUAUUUUCCUUUUAGAGGUUAAUAAUUAUUAAGUAUCCCUAGAAUAAUUUAUUGAAAAAGUAGAUUUGAAAGAAAGCAAUUACUCUCUUCUUCCUAUGCGGGACUUCUUGAACAUAACUAAUUUGACAAAAACCACAAUUUUAUUUAUUUUUAGGUGGAAUUAUAUCAAUAAGGAACUAUAUAUGCUUAUGAUAUUAAUCUAAGACCAUUAUUUGUUACUUGAACACAUGGAUUCAUCAUCUGAACAAUUGAAACAAUUAAUACUUGUGUGAACCUUUUUUUAUUUCGAGUGAUGUGUCAUAAUCAUUAGCCAACUAAGACUAGCGUUAAAUUUUUGGUAAGUCUCAAGAAGUGUAAUUAAUACUUAAUAAAAUAAUCUCAUCCUUGAGAUUCAAGAACUUGUUUGGAUUGAAUAGGUUUUUAUCAUCAAGAUCUAGAACAAAGUCUUAAUAUUAGUAAGAGGUAUUUUUGUGUGAAAAGUUUUCUUUGAGGUUCGAGAAAUGGAAUAGAUAUGGACUACAAGUUGAUAUUUCCCAUUGGAAAAUUCACACAAAAAGGAACAAGGAAUUCUCAAUGAAAAAAGCGCUCUCCAAAUCUGUUUAGUAUUUGUCAUGAGGUUCUUAUCAUAAUUGGAUUUUCCUUUUAGGAAAAGGUAAACACAGUCUCCAUAUUUGUCUAGUUCUUUUUCUUGUAGGAAAAAAAUUAUGACUCUAUAAAUAGAUGUUUUGUAACAUCCGACAAUUUGAAAUAGCUAAGAAGAGGCUUGAAAUUUGGAAAUUUUCAAUUUUUGGAAAGGAUUUGAAAAUCUGGAAAAUUUGGCUAAGUAUGGGAAAGGUGAGUUUUUUUGGGCCCAAACUUUGAACAACCAUAAAUUCUAGCUCAGGAUGAGUUAGGUGGAGUUCCGGUUAUGUUUGCAUAGCCCUCGGAACGACCUUUCCAACGCCACUGAGUUUGCUCAAUUCUGAGUUCGUAUGAGCGAGUUAUGGCCAUUGAAAGUUGGGCAGUUGGCAGGGAAUCCGUCCGGAAAAUUAAGGGCAUUUUAGUCUUUUCCCUAGCCAAUUCUUUUGGGAUUAUAUUGUUGUAUAGGGCUGAUCUUUAGAUCAUUUUGUCCCAUUUUAAGAAAUUAAAAUCUAGGGCUUGAGAGUGAAGAAGAGAAGAAGGAGAAGAAGAAGAGAAAAAUCGAGGAGAUCAACAAGUUUCCGACAAGAUCAUCGUGAAUGUUCGUCGGGGGUGAUCCCUAUCAAGGUAUGUGAGCUUUUAGUGUUGGGUGAUACUUUCCCCCACACACCUAGCCCCUUUUAUUUAUUAAGGAAGGAUUGGUUAUGUUGUUAAAGUUGUUAGUUGUUGUGGUUGAAGUUGUUGGAGUUGUUAAAGUUGUUAGUUGUUGUUGUUGGAAUUAUUGUUGGUGGUGGGACAUAAUUGAGUUGUGUUUUUAUGUUGAAAUCUAUUGAAUGUUGAGGGAUUUUAUGUUUCUAAGUGAUUGGGGGCUGGAAUCUUUGAGGUUAGAGGGUUUAGAGUUGGUAACGUGAAGGAGAAAGUCGGGUAGCUUGCGAGGAGCAUGUCUGCGUCGCGGACUUGUUCCUCUGUGAACAAAAAAUCUUCUCCGCGUCGCGGACAGGACGCAGACUCCACUGUUUUCAGAAUUUAUGUUCGAAGAUUUUCUUAGGUUUGGCUGUCCCAAAUCAUUCGCAAAUCAUUCCUAAACAUCAUGAGACCCUUCCAAACACCAAUCAAGUCCUUGAAUCCAUAAUCCAAUUCAAGGUGAGUUAUGAUCAAGUCAAGUGAAGUUAGUUUUCAAGUCAAGUGAAGUUAGAAGUCAAGUGAAGUUAGAGCCAAGCUUAGAAGUUAAGCAAGUCAAAGCAAGUCUUUAAAGCUUUUCAAGAGUCUUCAUUGAACGUUUUGACUUCAUUCUAAGGCUCAAGUUCCAAGUUAAGUAUAGAGUUUCAAGUCAAGCAAAGAGUCUCAAGUUUCAAGUUAAGUAAAGAGUAUCGAGUUUCAAUUUAAGUCAUAAUUUUUCAGUCAAGAGUCAAGAGUUGAGUUCAAUUCUCAAAAGUAAUUAGGGAACUAAGUAUUUCCCAAAGAAGUUUUAUAAGUGUUUUCACAUUUAAGUUGAGAGGAAACGGAGAUUUCCAAAAGAGUUUUGAGAAGUUUGAGCACUAUCUCUUUUAAAAGAAAAGAUGAGUUUUUGAAAAAGAGUUUCUAAAUUAUGAUUAGUAUGACAAAUGGAGUAUGUCAUCAAUGUUUAAACAGUAUGGUCUCUAGAUAUACCAUCAAUGUUUAAGCAGUAUGAAUAUCCCGAGUCAUCAAUGAUCAUAAAAAAAAAAAAUGUGGUUUUGACUUGUUCUAUUUAGAAAGAGUUUUCAAGUGCCUUCGGGCUAAGUUUUGAGUAAUUAUCUCAACUAAAGAAAGAUGUGCUUAAAACACUUAUGAGCUAAAGUAUUUUGGGAGUAGUAUCGAGCACCGAAUUGGGGAAACGAGUUCAUAUUAAACUCAACUCUCCAUAAGAACCAUGUAGCCAAACAUGGGAUUUCUCGGAUCAUACUUUUUAGAUGAUCACGAAAGUUAAGCUAGUGGAUCCAUUAAGCAAAAGUUAAAGUAAGGUCCUAUAUCGAUGGCAAGGUAUAGGAUGGUCCUUGGGCAACGUGAGGUAAAACGUUGUAUCACCACUCAGAUUCAUAGUGGUGGUUUGUCGGUUAGAGAAGCUCCCACAGUAGAAAGAGCAUGGUUCCUCGAGGGUUCUGCUUAGUAUGGAUGGGGGUAUGGGACUUCAUUCAUGCAUUGCACAAGUAGACUUUGAGAGGAAGCAUGGUAUUUUUAUGAUAUUAUAAAUAUGAUUUUUACGUCAUGUUUUAAUAGUUUCAAAAGCUUUAUAUAUAUUGCAUGUGUCUCAUUGCUUUAUAUUAAGUUCAGUUAUUCUUGAGUUGUACAGAGCCAAGGUAAGUUCUCUUUUGUAUCCCUUUUCAAGCUUAAGUUGUUGUUUAGCGGUCCAGCUCGCAUACUCGUACAUUCCAUGUACUGAUGCCAGUUGGCCUGCAUCUUAUGACGAUGCAGACACNNNNNNNNNNNNNNNNNNNNNNNNNNNNNNNNNNNNNNNNNNNNNNNNNNNNNNNNNNNNNNNNNNNNNNNNNNNNNNNNNNNNNNNNNNNNNNNNNNNNNNNNNNCAGUCAGUUAGUUUUGAGUCUCUCAUCUAUGUAUAUAUGUAAAUAUUCUAUUUUGAGACUCGAGUGGCCUUUUUGGCCAGAUGUGUAUCAUUUAAGUUGUUUAUGUCUUUGCAUGGCAUUGAGUUAUUCUGUUGAGUAGGUUUCCGCUGAGUUAAGAAAGCCAGGCCAAGGGUUCGCUUGGGGCCAGCAAUGGUCUCUGAGUGCCGGUCCCGCCCAGGGUGUAGGCUCGGGGCGUGACAUGUUUAUUCAUUCUAGCUUGGUAGCAUUCAUAAUGCAAUCCUAGGGGGCUUUGAGAGUUUUGUGUAUUGUGUGAAGCUAGAGGAAGAAUGUAUGAGACACAAGUAUUACUUUAACACUUGUGUGAACCUCUUUGUAUUCAGAGUGAAUUGUGUGAGGUUAUUCUUCUCUAGAUUUUAUAGUGAUUUUUUCAUCUCCUCUUGUGGAUGUAGAUCGGUUGACCGAACCACGAUAAAUGUUUGUGUCUUUUGAUAUAUUUCUUGUUUGUCUUAUUACUCAUCGUCUUUCAAGGUUUGCUUUGCUAGCUUUUGCAUGACACCUAAUUAUUUCAGUCCCAACAAGUGACAUCAGAGUCAGGUUCAAUGGUUUAAUGAUUCAAUGGUCGAACCAUGUUAAAAAUAAGUGUUCAUCUUGACGGGUUUAGUUCUAGCCGUAACAUAUUUGACAGUAAUGAAGAUUUUUGUUGGAGAAAUAUUUUCAAAGAUGUUUUCUGUGUUGAUAUAUAUAUAUAUAUAUAUAUAUAUAGAUUUUGCAGAGGAGAUGCAAGGUAUUGAAGAUUAUGUGAAGAAGGUGGAUCAAAUUUAUUUUGUCAGAAAUUUAGGCCAAUGGAGAUAUUUGUUUAGUAUUUGUCAUGAAUUUCUUAUCAUAAUUGGGUUUUUUCUUUUAGAAAAAGGAAACCACAAAGUUUCCAUAUUUGGCUAGUUCUUUUUCUUGUAGGAAAAUGUUUGACUCUAAAAUUAUAUGUGUAUUCCUUCUAGCCUAAUAGCAUUUACAAUGUAGUCCUAAGGGGCAUAGAGAGUUUUGUGUAUUGCGUGUAGCUAGGGGGAGAAUGUGUGAGACACAAGUGUUACUUUAACACUUGUGUAAACCUCUUUGUUUUUCCAUUGAAUUGUGUAAGGUUAUUCCUCUCAAUAUUUUGUACUUUCUUUUAUAUAGUGAAUUGCUCAUAUCCUCUUUUGGAUGUAGGUCGGUUGUCCGAACUACGUUGAAUAUUUAUGUCUUUUGGUAUAUUUUUCGUUUGUAUUAUUACUCAUGGUCUUUCAAAAUUUGCUUUGCUAGCUUUUGCCUGAUACCUAAUAAUUUCAGUCCCAACAAAACCAAACGUGAAAGUUGUUUUCCAGCAGACAACUUUUCUAGUAGCUCUACUCUCGACUUGGAUAAUUUAACCAAAAAGGUACGCUUUCGGCCAUUCUACAUGCUGCCUAUGUAGAGACAUGUUUAUCUAAAGUGGAUUCUCUUUUUUGUAGUAGGUAUCAAACCUGUUAUGCCCAUUGACUAAGAAGCUAGGGGUGGACACAACAACUACAUGGACCUCUUUCUUACAUCGGCCAUCACUAUUAAUCGUCUUUGUUAUCACAAUGACCACCACUAUUACCGUCAUCAAACAUCUCUGUCCUCACAAUUACCAUUAUUAUCAACCACUACUAUAUAUCAAACAUUUGCUAUAUUUAUGUUUUUUAUUGACAUAAACAAUGGGUUAACAUGAUAUAAUUUAUUAGUAGUUUUAUAUAUUUUUCUUAUAAUAAAGGAAACAAUCACUUAUACAUUCUUUGAGAUCAUUUAGUUUAAAAUCAGGAGUGGAAUCAUAACUAGGGUUAUAGCUUAGCAUCAAUUCACCUUCUUAAUUAAUGGGAUAAUUUAAUUAGCUAAAUUUGAAUGAAAAGAAGAAGAAAUUGAUUAAUUUAAUUCGUUUACGUUCCAAUGGGGUGUGCAAUAUCCAUAAAUUUGUCAUGUCGUUAUUAGGUGUUCAUGAGAUGCACAUAUUCCAAGCAAAAGUACCUAUUUGAUCACUAGAUGAGUUUAAGUAUUCAAUUUACAAAUUCUGCCAAAUUUGAGGGACUAUCUAGGUAUUAUUUAGAUAAAAUUAUUUGUAUAGUCCACUCUAAACAUACUUAUAAUUAAGCAAGUAACAUAUACUAUAUAAAGAAGCUUCUAGAGAUAAUUAAAGUUAACUCUAUAUAAUUAGAGUUGCAAUAACAAAUACGUCAAAACAUUAAAGUGUUUCACCAAUAAAGUCAUUUUUUUAAUGUCCAAAACUAAUCCAAUGGAAGCUCUAUUAUGUGGAACACCAGAAGAAGUUUCAGUAUUGUUGGUACAUCAUGAAGUAGAAUUUCUUACUAAUCAGACUGUUAAAUUGUUAGAGGCUUAUAAAUACAAAGGUGACAUUCUAGAAUUUUUUUAACUUUUUUGUUUCUUUGAUAUAAUAACUAAAUGCCGUGUGACAUUUUUUUUUAUAUAUAGAGAGAGAUUGAAAUGAUAUGCUUUUUGUUAUCUCAUUUAUGAUUUUAGCAUCGUCCAUUUUUAAAUUUCAUUUAUCUUGUAAAUCUUGAACUUUUCUUUUUCCUUGUUAUCAUAGCACUUUUUAAUUUUUACAAAUUUAUCUAUCCUCGAAGAAAAAUAAUUCUACAUUAGUGAUGGAUGCACAAGAAAUUAGGAUGACGGGAGGGAAGAGAAAGAGCACGAAAAAGACAUGAUAAGAGAUGAUCUGUCUAUCAUUAUUACUUGAGAUAAUAUUUUUUUGUCUUUUAUUGGAUGUAUAAAAAAAAAUGAGGAGAUCUAAUUUUCAUUAAAAAAACAUUUCCCUUUCUAUUUUUUGUUUUUGUUUUUCGUUGGACGUAGACAAAAAAUUGGCAACUCCUUUCUUAUACUUUGUUAGAUCAUCUAAUUACAUAUCUAUGAAAUAAAAUUACCUCAAAACAUUUUAUCCUAUUAUCUUUUGCUUUAAUAUUUAUUUGUUUUUGACAAGCCAUAAAUAAAUUGGAAUAGUUUUUAGAAAUAUAUUCUUUAGGAUCUUCUCUAGUUUUUAGUAAUCCAAUUAACGAAAAAAAAAAACUAAUAUAUACUUUUUAUGUAACCAAUCUAGUUAAGAUUGCACUCAUCAUUUAUAAUAUAAGUUGAUUAAUAUGUGUUAUUUUAAAAAUUAAAGUGCAGAAAUAUAACAUGAAAAUUCACAGUUGAAUUUGAAUAACAAACAAACAUAUCCAAAUGAUACCUUUGUGUACAAUAUUUUUUUUUUCAUAAUUUUCACUGAUUUCAAAUUGCACGGGUAUAUGUAGUUACGGAAGUUAUGGCUCCUGCGGCAAUGUCAAUGCUUUUCAAAGAAAAGAAAAAAAUUGAUGCAAUGAUAAUCAAGGUCAUUUCACCGGAUUCACAUUGCUUUGAGCUCCUGGCACAAGCUGUAACCUUGAACAUCAUCGUAGUAAGUAAGUAUUUAUAAUUCUAUCUUCCACUUAUUAUUAUAGACGGUAAAGUAAGUUUUUUUAAUUAACUAUUGCAUAAUGUAUAUAAUAUUAUUCAAUUUUAAUUGCUAUCUUCUUGAUAUAAUUAUGCAGUUGUCUAUGAUGAACUCAAUGAAUUCUUAGUGAAGAAAGCUUUGGACAAUGGAGCUUACAUUUGCUCGAAGAAGCCUCUUGUCGAGCAAACUAUGACAUUCUUGUGGCAAUUUGUAUGGAGGGAGAAAACACAAAGAGGGAAAUCAAUAAAAAGAGUAGAAACAAAGGGAGAUCAUAUUUUUGUUUGAAGUUAUUGGAGUUCUGAGAAAACAAUAGGUCGUGGUUUUUUCCUCCCUUGAGCAAAGAGGUUUCCACGUUAACAUAUGUGUUCUUACUUUAAGCAUUUAGAUUACUUCUUGUUAUCAGUAUAGUCAAGUGGUCAGAACACGAGAAGACAUGUCACUAAACAACAACAUAUAUAGGAAAAAACAAACUCUGCUAAGUGAUCGAUCCGUGUGUGAUAGUUGCCUUCUUAACCUUGAACUAUUGCUUCCUGCUAGAUUAUAUGAACUUAGAUAUGUAUACAAAUUAGUAUUCAAUGAGUUCCCAAACAUUCGUGCAUAAACAAUUUCCCCUGUUGUCGUGCCACCAGGACUUAGCAUAUGUUCUGUAUUUGUAUAAUUUCGAUGAUGAUCAUGAGAUUGCUGGGAUAAUGGAGGCAUAUUAUUAUUGUGUAUUAGACCGUGACUCCUACAUCUCGAACUAGGAGGUCUUUGUGGUAUGACUAUACCAAAAUUCUAUACCAAAAUUCGGGGCCUUAAUUUCAGAUGUUUUUGUAGCUUGACAGCGACCAUAGAGUGGAAUCAAUGUUUUUUGUGAGACUUCAGCUUUGCAAACAGGGCAAUUUGGUUGUUGGUUAUCGAUGUUCUCUGAUGAAAUGGUCUUAAAAUGUAUCCAUUUGUAGAUGCAAGGCCAACAAUAGGAGGUGACCACAUAAUGUAACAACAGGAUCAUGUACAACAUCUAGGCAAAUGUUGCACUCGAAACCUCCAGGUGAAUUUUCUUCAAGUUUAUCAAGAUCAAUUGUCUCCAUUUUUCAAAGGAAAUAUCGCGUUGAUCAAAGGUAGUUUCUGCUAUUUGGUCUUGAAAAAUUUGUUCUAAGGCCAUAUUUGCCUCUUGGUAUUGAAUUAUUUUGGUAAUGGCAAGAUGAAGAAUGGUUAGAAUUCAGGUUUUUAAUACAAUUAGAAGUGAGUAUUUAUAAGGACAAAGAAUAGUAGUUUGCAAACAAUGAUUCUUAAGGUUGUCACUUGUCAACAUCACAUUAUGUUAAAGGGGCAUGGCCAAAAAGAAAAGGCCCUACACAUUAUUAAACAACACUAUAUCAUAUUACUCAACAGUCUUGAUUUAUGGGGUAUUGUUUGAUUUGAUAUAACAUUUAAUAAGAAAAUGAAGACUUUUAAAAUAUGUACUGUAUUAAAGAUAAAAAAUAAAUUUUAAGUUUUUCGAUCCUAGAAAUGAUAUUCUUUUUAUAUUAAGACUAAAACAAAUGUUUUACAUAAAUUAAGAUAGAUGAACUAUCAAACACAUCAUAAUUAAGUGAUUUAAUGAAGUCAAAAAUAAAUAUUAAUGGAUCAUGGUUAAGUGAGAGGAGUUUUGUGCAAACACGUCUUUUAUCUAUCUAUUUGAUUUAAACAAGCAUAAGUUUUAUCAUAUUAGAAAUAUGAUUAGGACCUUAUAUUAGGCCCCAUGAUAGGAAUCUUAAUCUAGAAAAUAACUUUUAGUCAAUAAAAAGUAGCACUAGUUGCGUACAAGGAGCUACCACUUGAUGACCUUCCACACUUCCACAUCCCAUAAGUUCAAUAGUUUUCACACUAUAAGAACUAGAUGUUUUUUUCCGCGUGAAUCAAUAAAAUUUUUAGUUUUAUGUUAUAAAACAUGAUUUUUUUCAUUUUGAUUUUAUUAAACUAAUUCACUAAGAAAAUUCAUAACGAAACAUAAGUUCUCAUUGAAAUACUGGAAAUAGUCACUUGGAAAUUUAUGAGUUUUAGGAAAUUAUGCAUCAAAACUUAGAAAGACGCGGCUCAUAUAGAAAUUUGUUGUUAAAUCAUAAUAUAUACUUUUACAUCUGAAUAUCUUUAUUGAUUUGGUUAAAAUUAUAAUUAAAAAAAUUACAAUACAAUAUAUAUAGAUUCACAUAAAUUUAAUACUGUAAGUUCAAUUAUUAUUCAAUUAUUAUUAUGAUAUAUUAAUCUAAAAUUAUUAUAGAAGCUUCUAAACUCUAAAUUCAGAUCCAACUAAGGAGUGAAUAUACAUAGUGGGGGUCUGGGGGAUGGGAGAAAACAUAUGGACGGUGUGACAAAUAAAUAAAAGAAAUACUCCGUCCAUUCCAUUUGACUUAGUAUUGUUUGACUUAAUACGAUGUAUAAGAGAAAAAAAAGAUUUUAGAAAAUUAUAGGCUAAAACAAUUUUUAUAUAUUUAUAUAAUUGUAAAUCAUUUCAUUAAUUAAGGGUAGAUGGAGAAUUUUAAGUUUAAUUAUUUUCAAUUACAAUAAAAUGACAUUUUUAAAGACGGAUUAUGAGAAUAGAGUGCCACGUAAAAUAAAACGAGAAAAUACUACUCCCUCCUUCCCAUUUUAUAUGUUACCUUUUUACUUUACAUUUACAUUAAGAAAUAAUGUAACUUUACCCUUCUACCCUUAUUUAAUGUUUUCUUAAGUUAACUUUAUAACUCCCUCCGUCCCAUUUUAUAUGUCAUCUCUUUCUAUAAAUAGUUGGACCACAAUACUUGUCAUUUUAUAAAAUUUAUGUAUAAAUUACCAUAUUUUACCUAUUAUAUCCUUGAUAGAGUAGUUAAUUAAUCUUGAAAAUAUAUUCAUCAUUUAUUAUAAAUUGACUUAAGAAAAUAUUAAAUAAGAAUAGAAAGAUAAAAUUACAUCAUUUCUUAAUAAAAGUAUAAAGUAAAAAUGUGACGUAUAAAAUAGAACGGAGGGAGUACUACAAAAGAACGAGUCCGCACAUGCAUUAUACAAGUACUACAUGUGUCUCGAAUUUAGCAGCCUUUUGUCAACUUUUUAUAUUUUGGCUUACUUGGAAGCAAGUCUAUCCUCUCCUAUACAAUCAAUUAGGGUGGCCAUUAAUCAUAUAUUAUUAGGCUAAAGAUAACAUAUUGCUCCCUCCGUUUUUAAUUAUUUAUCCAUUUUUUUAGUUAUUCCUAAUUACUUGUCUAUUUUUACAAAUCAAGAAAGAACAAUUUUUUUUACCUAUUAUACCGUCAAUUUAUUACUUUGAAAAAAGUAGAACUUUUUGAAAAUCUUGAGUUUUUAAUUCAUCCACUUCAUAAUUAAUAUGGAUAAAAUGGUAAACUCACUAUUUCAAUAAUUGUUUUCUUAAUAGGUGUGCCAAUUCAAAAAUGGACAAGUAAUUAGGGAUAGAGAAAGUAUAUCGAAAUAAUAUAAUAAGAUAUUAUGCUAAAGAUAAUUAACAAAACUUUGAACAAUUAUAAAUAAGAUAGCAAAAAAAUCCAUAGUAAAUUAACAUGGUUCAACGAUUAGUGAUGGAAUCUGAAUAUGAUUCAGGAUUUUCACUAUUAAUGAAAUUCAAAAGGAAUAAUACAUAAAUGUGCCCUUUAACUUGACUUCAUUUUAUGUUUAUGUCCUUCAACUUUGGGUAUACACAAAUAUGCACCUAAACUUGUAUAAAGUUGAACAACUAGACACAUGAGUCCUACAUGACACAAUACACAUAAGAUACCACGUAGGAUAAAAAAUGCCAUGUAGGACAUGUGUGUCUAUUUUUUCAACUUUAUACAAAUUUAAAUAUCUACUUGUGCACACCCAAAGUUGAAGGGCAUAAAUGUGAUUUGAAGCCAAGUUAAAGGGUAUAUUUAUGUAUUAUGCCUAUUCAAAAUAUGAAUAAAUAAACAUAUAAAUUAGCUGACUACAAUAAUAGACAGAUAAAAAAUAAUUUUAACUAUAUGUAUAAAUAAUAUAAUUUUUCAUCGAAAGAGGUUCAUCUGAUUCCUCACUACUUUCUCUCAUUCAAAACUAAGCAAUAUGAGACUUUCAUGUCACAUGGAACCCUUUUUUUUUUUUUUGGAAAUCUCAGUAGUUCAGUUAAUUGACUGACUAUCUGAAUUCUCGAUUUCCCAUGUUGUAAUCCUCUACCCCAAUUUUUUUAUUACCUUCCUCACAUAUGUAUAAGACCGAAUCCAAAUAUCUAAGAUGAGAGAAUUUUGGGAGAGCCACCGACUCCAACUACUGCCAUAUAUUAUCCAUAUUAGAUUUGACCAACUAUCCAUCCUACCCUCCUCUACGUUCUUGACAACCCAUUUUUGUCUUAGUCAAGUCUUUUAGUGGCACGUUUUGAUCCUCUUUUCAAUUACUUAGAAAAAGUGAGUUAUUAUUCAGAUACAAAAUACUAUCAUUAUCGCCUAAAAAAUUAGACAUUCAACCCGUAAUCACAAUGAUCCAAUUACAAAAGCUCCGAACCCCCUAGGUCUAGACUGGCUCUGGCCCUAGUUUUAUCUCUUGACCUUCACAUGAGUAAACUCGUUGAUAUAGAGGAUUACAGUAUUGAUUUCUUUAAAAGAAAAAAACCUUAAUUUAAGGUAUGGAGGCCUAGAAAGGAAACACACGUUAUAUAUGGAGCCUGUUCUGGCCUAUACAGUAUAUAUGUACAUAAAAUUUGGAGUAUCUAAAGAACCACUGACAAAUGGCUACGAAAGAUCAUAUACAAUUAAAUUACAAGCCAUUUGCAAUCAUCCUGCCACCUUAAGCAGAAAAAAUGAAAACGAAUAAAACAAACACUCACACAUUUGGCUUCUGAUUUGACAUUUAUUUCAGAGAACUGGCUAGUCCUCAGAACACCUUAACUACUCGCUGCAGAAAAAGAAAAAAAAGACGCAAAAAAUGGAAAAUAAUAUGUUAGAUGUCCCAUAAUUAAGGAACAAGAGAACAUUAUAGCAAGAAUGAGCAUGCAGGUACGUAUAAGAACUUACACAUUAUUGCGGCAAGAAGCAACUUCUUUCUCAAAGUCAUCAUCAUCAUCAUCAUCUUCAUCUGUUGUCACACUAUCGAAAAUGCUUGCAACAAAAGAUGAAAAAUGAAAUGUUACACUUCCCAAAAUCAAGAAUGAACAUGCAAGUAUAACAAGUUACAAAAUAUUGGAAGGAUUCGAAUCAAUCACAAUGACAGCAUCAAGAACUUUUGUUGAAUUGAUGCAAUUUGACUUACUAAAGCUAUUAUCCAGAUUAUUAUCGAGUUUACUAUGAUGAUGAGUUAAAUAUUGUUGUAAAUCAAGGAAGAAGAUGUCUUACAAAAGAUUCACGAGUAUGGACCUCGAUAGAGCUUCCAUAGUUGUCUUGAAUGUCCUGUUGAAUUUGCUUGGCGGAAUUCCCAACAGAUUGUUUACAGUCACUUAUAUCAAUAAGAGCUAGUGUGGUUAUAUCUGCAAAAUCUCGAGGGAUUGAAUCCAAAGAAUAGCAAUCUUUAAGAAAAAGUCGUUCAAGGUACGGAAAGUGAUCACUACUAGCUCUCCAGUACCGAAUGUAUACUCUAUCCAGAAACAAGAACUUUAAGUGAGGAAACCCUUCCUCAACUACUUCCCACUCCUCGCCUAUGAAGGCAUUGUCUGAUAGUUUAAGGACCUCGAGUUUGGAUAAUUUACCAACAAUGCUCAAAUCCUUCCAUGCCAAAGAAAAUUUUCCCCUAAAAGUUAAACUCUUAAGGUUUUGUGGAAAAGCAUCCGGAGGAGGUAAGAGUAAAGUUGGAACAUCAGUUGGAGGUGCAGUUCCCCCGAAACGAGUCUGAAACCUCAGAGGAUCUUGCGGAGUAGAACCUGAAGGUGCAGUGUUUUUUAGAAAGCAAGCAAUAGGUGAAUAAUAAAUACCAAAUGUCAAUUUCUCGAGCUGAUAUAAGUAGCGAAAAUCAUACAGGUCCUUGUGAUUGCGAAAGUCCUCUGGGACGCCAAAUACUUUCAACUUCUUUAAAUUGGGAAAUAGUCUAAAAAAAGACCCUGUACAAUACCGAGGAUUCAAUUGAUUGAGGCAUUGCAAACUUUUCAAAACCAAUCUGUUCUCUGUAGGCUCAUGACUCUGCAAGUAAUUCCAGCCCAUAUGCAGCUUCCUCAAUUGUGGCAUCGUCAAAAUUUCCGAUGGUAAUAUGAAAGGAUAACUACUAUUGGGAAAUGGAAGGUAAAGUUUAAAAGUUUGCAGAUAGCAUAGGCUUGAUAUCGAUAGAGGAAUGUCUAUUAUUGAUGAGGGAACAGCUUCUUUCGAUCCUCGAUACUGCUUUAAGCAAGGCUUAAAACACAAAGAUAGGUAUCUCAAAUGAAAUAGAGAAAGUACUCCACUGGGAAAAAAUGGGCAUAUAGUCAAACCAAGAUCUAGUACUCUUACUAGCUUGAAAGACAAUGCCAGUGUGACGCAUUUGAAUCCACCCAACAUGAUAAUAGAAUGAGCCUCACUGCUACAACACCAAACCAAUUUUUUCUCAUUAUGGAUUCUGAUCCGAUUUCGACUCUUAAAGGAACACUGCAUGGAUUGUUCACAUGAAUUUUGAUAACUCUUUCCUCUGAUAACAUUCACAAAAUUCAUGUUUCGAGCUUCCCUCAAACAGAGUUCACGGGUCACAUCAUGCAUUCCACAACUUUCUAUUGUUCCACGAAAACUAAAAUUGUGGAUGAAAAUUAAGCUUCUAUCUAUAAGUUCAUUUAUACAUGUUGUUGCCACCUCUUCUAUGCUUUUUCCCUCUUCUUCAUUCAAAAACCCCUCUACGGCCCAUAAUUCAACAAGUUUAUUUACAUAAAUCUGUUCAUCCUCUGCGAAAAUUGCAAAAUACAGAAAACACGGUUUUAGGUGAGAAGGCAAGUGAUGGUAACUCAAAGCCAACACUCUCAUGCACUUUGCUUCAAGAUCUGUGCUUACCACUGAACUUACAUUCUCCGCAACAUAUUGCCACACACCCAAUGUUUUACUGAUUUUGGAGAGAAGUCCAGCAAUCACAGUAAUUGCUAGAGGUAACCCUCCACAUUUUAAUGCAAUUUGUUUCCCAAUAUUUUCAAAUUCAGGAGAAUAAGAACCUUCUUUUUCAAAGAUCUUUUUGUGUAGUAAAUUCCAACUUUCGUCAAAAUUCAUGAGGCGCAUGUGAUGAGGAGGCUUACCUGACCUAGCACAUUCAGCCACUUCCACAUUCCGAGUAGUCAGGAGUAUUCUGCUUCCAUUAUAACAGUCUGGGAAACAUAGUUUUAUAUCAUCCCAAGCUUCUGUAGUCCAUAUGUCAUCAAUGACUACCAAGUAUCUCCUGCCUUUCAGAUGCUUCUGCAAUCGGUCCGCUAGCUGAUCAUCAGGUUCAUCACUUAUCGAAGGAAGAAGGCCUAGGAUUACAUUUCUCACACAAUACUCUUGUGAAACAGUUGCUUUUGCACGAAUAUCAAAUCGAGACAUAAUGUAAGGAUCACUAUAGAGUUUUGUAGCCAAAGUUGUUUUCCCGAUACCUCCCAUCCCUACGAUUGAGACAACUUCUAGUUCCCUUCCUCCUCUAGCAAGUUGAUCCAGCAUCAUCUCAAAUUCAUUUUCACGGCCAACCAUUAUAUUCUCGGGCUGCUCAACAGCAUGUUCAGGUAAACUGACAAGUGAGCUAGUUUGUGGUUUUAGAUCUUUCAUGCUGUCCGAUGCUGCCAUCCACUGUUUCACGGUGGAAGCAAUGCAUUCUAGUGCUUGUUCCAAGACGAAAAAAAUCUCCCACAUAGCCCUGCUUCUUUCCUCCAAAUUCUGUGCUAAAAAAACAUUUCUUGAUUCCGAGUCAACCAUAUCUUCUGUUGUGUAUGCUACCUCUGCGAUUUCAACUUCCAAGAUUGUUAACCCCUCAUGAUCGCCCAUUAUAUUGCAGGAUUUCUCCAGAAUAGCUCUCAAAGAUUUGAGCUUUUCAUAAAACGGUUGCAAAUCACAUCCAGUAAGUUCCAUUGAUUGAUGUAUGGUUCUCAUAAGGGAAGUAACAGCAGCAUAAGCCAUAUAUCCAAAAAAUAGAAAUAUCUCUCAGUAUGAAAAUGGACAAAUUGCCACAAGUUAUGUAAUUUUUCAGUUUUUAAGAAAACAGAAAAUGCAAAGUUCUUUCUUUUACUAGCUAUUUCCAUCACAUUUCCAGCUAGGUCCACCAACCUUAUCAUCAUGUAGACAAAAGCAGAGACCAAAGUUAAAAAAAAAAGAAAAAAGGCAGGACUCUAACAGGAAAAAGUAGAAAAAAUUGUGACCAUUCAUUAUUAGACCCUACACUUAUCUAUUCAUGAAUAUAGGUAUGUUUCUUACAUACAAGAGAUUGAUGAUUUUAAUUCCAUUGAAAGCAACUUCGUAGAAUUUUCCAAAUCAAAGAGAGAGAAAUAUUAAGAUCCAAGUAGGAAUUUCUCUAUUCCUAGUUCGAUUCAAUUAACCAAGCAUAAAUAUCUCUUUAAAUAUAUAUGAGAAGUUUAGACUCUAAAAGUCAAAUCAACAAAAUAUUUAUGGGCUAACACAUGAAAAACUAUUGAGAAAAUUGCCUAAUUUCUGUAAAUUGGCCCUUAAAUCUCCAAAAUGGACUCUAAAAAUUGUCAGACUGUACGUAUUGCUCCCAACUCCCUACUAAGGGUUCUGUAAUUUCGAUUAGAAUUCGCCCGUAAGUCAUAUCACCAAUAUAUUAAUGACUAACACACACGAAAAACUAAGAAAAUUGUCUAAUUUCUUGAAAUUGGCCCCUAAAUGCCUAAAAUGGACUCUAAAAAAUUGUCAGACUGUACGUAUUGCUCCCAACUACCUACUAAGGGUUCUGUAAUUUCGAUUAGAAUUCGCCCGUAAGUCAUAUCACCAAAAAUAUUAAUGGGCUAACACACACAAAACACUGAGAAAGUCGCCUAUUCCUGUAAAUUGGCCCCUAAAUGCCCAAAAUGAACUCUAAAAUUGUGAGACUAUGUACUGCUCCACUAACUCCCUAUGGAGGGUUCCGUAAAGAUUUCACAAAGAAAUUAUUCGGAAGAUAUAUCACCAAAAUAUUUAUGGGCUAAUACAUUUUUAUUUGUCCAUUUGAUUUGAUAUAUCUUUCAAGUACUUUGAUCCGGUUAUACUUUUUUUUUAUUGCUAAAAAUAAAUAUCCACUUUUACUUGUUCAUUCUACAAAACAAAGACAAUAUUUUAUUGCUUGAUUCAGAUAUAAAAUUUGAGUAGGCUAAUUUACAAACCAUCUGUAGUCAUCCUGCCCCUAUGCUAUAACAUUUGAAAGAAAGAGGUCAUCAUCAUCAUAUUCAUCAUCGUUGUCAUCUUCAUCUUCAUCUUCAUCAUCAUCUUCAUCUUCAUCAUCAUCUUCAUCAUCAUCUUCAUCUUCUUCAUCAUUAUCAUCAUCAUCAUCAUGAUCGUCAUCGUCACUUGUUUCCUCACUGUUGAAAAAGCCAGCAACAAAAGAUGAAAAAUGAAAUGUUAUGCAAGUAUAACAAGUUACACAAUUACUAUAUUGGAAGGAUUUAAAUCAUAUACAAUGACAACGUAUGAACUUUUACACUAUAGGUGCCAUUUAACUGCUUAUUAAAGCAACUUAUAAUUAUUUUAUUACUAGUUCUGGACACAUGCUUUGCAUGUGUAUAUUACACGUUUAGUCACGAUUGUAAGAGGGUGUACACCAGGAUCAUUCGAAGAGCAAAGUCGUGUGAGCCUUACAGAUAUUCUUGACGUACUCCUAUUAAAAUCUGUAUCAUAAUAUCUGAUGAAAUCAGCUACUGAUCAGUCAAGCUCUCCAUUGAUGUAGACUUCAACUACACAUGAGAAAGAAUGAGAGAAGAAGAGAGAAGAGAAGAGAAGAAGAAUCUAGAAGAGCAACAUGAAAAUUAAUCUCUCAUUGAAUGUGAAUUAAAACUACAAGAAUUACAAUGUGACUAUAUAUAUAUAAUCACUGGCAGAAAUUAACUAACUAACAAACUUGAUUCUAACUAACUCUACUGUACAUAGAUUCUAACUAACUCUACUGUACAUAACCGACUCUACUGUACAUAACUAACUAAUUAUACUUUAUAUUCUCAUCACCCCCCCUCAAGUUGGAGGUGAUGUAAUUACAGACAACUUGUGCAAUAAGGCAGUAUGUUUAACUCCAGUCAGAGCCUUGGUGAAGAUGUCUGCCAACUGUGAAUCAGUGGGAAUAUGAUGGAGUGUGAUUAGGCCUUGUUGAAGCUUGGUCCUAACAAAGUGACAAUCGAUUUCUAUGUGCUUUGUCCUCUCAUGAAAAACUGGAUUCUUUGCAAUGUGGACUGCUGCUUGACUGUCACAAUGGACAGGGAUAGGUAAGGAGCAUUGUACAGUCAACUCAUCCAACAAUCGUUCAAGCCACACUAGUUCUCCUACAACUUGUCUCACAGCUCUAUAUUCAGCUUCAGCAGAUGACAAAGACACUGUUGCUUGCUUCUUAGACUUCCAGCUGACAGGACUAUCACCCAGAAGCACUAGGUAUCCACUAACAGACUUCCUGGAAUCAGGGCAAGCAGCCCAAUCAGAAUCACAAUAAGCACUGAUAGUGAGAUCAGGCUUGUUUGAGAUAAAAAUUCCCAAUGUUGGAUCCUGUUUCAAAUAUCUGAGCACAUGGUAUGCUGCUUUUAAAUGUGGUUCCCUAGGUGAUUGCAUAAAUUGGCUCAAGUGUUGUAUACUAUAAGCUAUGUCCAUUCUAGUGUUGGUCAAAAAAUUUAGCUUACCAACCAACUUCCUGUAUUGAGUAGGAUCAGAUAAAAGAUUGCCAUCUGUAGCUGUUAACUUCUCAGUGCAAUCAAGUGGUGAUGUAGUGGCCUUGUGACUUAACACAUCAAAAUCUUUCAGGAGAUCAGAAGUGAAUUUCCUUUGUGAAACUAGCACUCCAUCAUGUCUGUAUAAUAUUUCCAGUCCCAGAAAGUAGUGUAGUUUGCCCAAAUCCUUUAUCUUGAACUGAUCAUUUAAGAAGCUCUUUAAGGAGUUGAUUUCAGCCACAUCUGUUCCAGUUAGAAUUAUGUCAUCCACAUAUACAGCAACAAACACCAAGGAGCAGCCCUUCCUUUUGUAGAACAGUGAGUAAUCACUGUCUGAGUGCUGAUACCCUCUUGAACAUAGACAGUUUGCCAACUUCUCAUACCAUUGCCUGCUGGCCUGUUUUAGUCCAUACAAAGACUUCUUCAAUUUGCACACCAUGUUAUCACAACCUACUACAAGACCUUGUGGAGGUGCCAUGUACACUUCCUCAUGCAAAUCACCAUGUAAGAAUGCAUUAUUGACAUCUAGCUGAUACAAGCUCCAAUCUUUCUUAACAGCUAAAGAGAUUAAUGUUCUAACAGUAGUCAUUUUAACUACAGGUGAGAAGGUUUCAGUGUAAUCUACCCCAACUUGUUGUGUAUAACCUUUGACCACCAACCUACACCCCAGCUUGUUGUGUAUAACCUUUGACCACCAGCCUAGCCUUGAACCUCUCCACACUCCCAUCAGCUUUGUGCUUGAUUUUGUACACCCACUUGCACCCAAUAGCUUUCUUCCCAUCAGGUAACAUGACCAUCUCCCAAGUGUCAUUAGCAUACAAAGCUUCAAACUCCUGUGUCAUGGCCUGCUGCCAGGCAGGGUGCAAUAUUGCUUCCUCAAAUGAAAUAGGCUCACAUUCAUGUGAAAUGGUUGUUACUAACUGCUGACUAUCAGAACAAAGACUGGUGAAACAUACAUGUUUAUGGGGAGAUAUAAAGGAAGUGAGGGAGUGCAGCUUAGGUAUAGUGUAGGUGUAUUCUUUUAGGUAAUUAGGAGUGUGUAUGGUUCUGGUUGUUCUUCUAGGUGCUGAUAUUGUAGGUACUGGUAAAGUAUCAUGAUGCAUGGUGGCAUUUGGAUCAGGUAAGGUAGGUUGAGUUGUAGUAGGUUGAGUUGUAGGUUCAUGUAGGACAGCAGGUGGUACUUCAUUCAUGUUGGUAUUACUGGUUACUUGAUUAUUAGUGACUUCAUGUGGUGUGAAAUUUUCCAGUUGAUCAUCAUUAGCAAAAAUGUUCAUUUUACCAGACAUACAAGGCAUGCUAGUGGUAUGAGUAAGCAUUUGCAGAAUGGAAUUGAAACUAGAACCAUCAGGGGCAAUAACAAAAGGAAAAAUAUUUUCUUGAAAAAUAACAUCUCUUGAUAUAUGAACUUUCUUGGUAGCUAAAUUCAAAACUUUGUAACCUUUUGUAUUGAAAGGGUAACCAACAAAAACAUGAGGUGUGGUUCUAGGUUCAAAUUUAUCUUUGUGAGUUUUCAAGGUAGUGGGGAAACAAAGACAACCAAAACUCUUAAGGUGGGAAUAUGUAGGUGAUUUAUGGUACAACAUUUCAUAUGGAGAUUUAUUCUGUAAAAGUUGAGUGGGCAGUCUAUUAAUCAGGUAUGUGGCAGUCAAUACACAUUCCCCCCAGUACCUCAUAGGCAACUUUGACUGAAACAAAAGUGCCCUUGCUGUUUCAAGUAGGUACUUAUGUUUCCUUUCUACCACCCCAUUUUGUUGAGGUGUAUAAGGACAAGUUCUUUGGUGUAUGAUACCUUGUUUUGGAAGAAAUUUGUGGCUUCAGCUGAAGUAAACUCUAACCCAUUGUCAGAUCUUAUGGCUUUUUAACUUGGUUUGGAAUUGGUUUUCUAUGAGAGAUAUGAAGGCUUUGAUAGUUUGGAGAGCAUUACUCUUACAUCUCAGCAAUUGUGUCCAAGUGGACCUACUGUGGUCAUCUACCAUAGUGAGGAAAUAAUGAUAUCCAUCAUGAGUGGGAACAUGAUAUGGUCCCCAUAGGUCAACAUGUAACAACUCAAACACUUUAGUGGUGGUGGUGAUACUUUCUGGAAAAGGCAUCCUAGUUUGCCUAGCCAUAGGGCAUAUAUUGCAAGUAAAAGGCUGUUUAGGAGAAAAAUGAACAGGUAUAGUUGAGAUAUUUUUCAUUUUUACAAAAGGUACAUGUCCUAAUCUAGCAUGCCACAAAAGUUCAUCAUCAUGAGUGUGAUUAGAGACAUUUGUAAAUGAAGGACAAGCAUGAGUAAAACAAGAGGAAGGAAAAACAGUACAAUCUGCCUUAUUCAUAGGAGAGUAUUUUACAGAAGAACCAGUGGACACAUUAGAAUCUGAAACCCUGCUAGUAUUGCCUAAAGAAGAGACAAGAGGACAAUUAACAUGAGGUGCUUUACUCUCAGCAGAUGGACAACAAUUGUGGCAUUUGUGACACAAGAAGUACAGGCCAUUCUUGGCUUUACCAAGUUCCAGAGGGCUCUUCAGAGAAGGGCCCUGCAGCAAACAAGAAGAUUUGUCAAAGCUGACUACACCAUUGAAUUGUAGUGCUAAACAAUGAACAGAAAUGAGAUUAAACUUGAAGCUAGGUACAAACAACACUUUGCUUAGAGUCAAAGCUGGAUUUAAACAAGCAUCACCAAUUUCAGUCACUUUAACCUUGUAACCAUUAGGGAGUGAAAUUAGAAAGGGAUAUGGAAGUGAAAUGAUGUUUGUGAGGGUGGUCUUAUCAUAGGUCAUAUGGUGUGAUGCUCCUGAAUCUAUGAUCCAAGAGCCAGCAGUCAGUUUAACACAUUUACAAGAAAGAUCACCUAUAUCAGUAAUAGAGGAAUAACAUGCAAGUAUACCUGCCAAGUUCACAGCUCCAUUCAGCAUGUUGUUUGAGUUGUCUGAGGCUCCAUUUCCAACUUGUAAAGUUCCCAGGAGAUUGAGUAGUUGUUCAUAUUGAUCUUUGGACAAGUUCAAUGGCAUUUGUCUCCUUACUUCAGGUUCCUCUUCAGAUUGAACUCCAUUCAUAUCAGGGGCACACACAUUUGCUGCAGCUUUUCCCUUUUUGAACCUUGGAUUUGGAUUGGAUGGGUAUCCAUGAAGCUUGUAACAUCUAUCCUUUGUGUGUCCUGAUUUCUUACAGUAGUCACAAAACAAAGAAGACUUGCCAGUGCUAGAAUUGCCUCUAAACCCAGUAUUACCAGAAUUGGUUCCACCUCCUCCAGAUGAACUGUAGUUUGUCCGGAAUCCCCUGUAUCCUGCACUGCUGUUGGUCUGUCCAUAAGCAUUGAGAGAGGUAGAAUCCAAGGCUGUAUGAUUAUGAGGCUUCACCUCCCUUUGUUUUUCCUCUUGGGAUAAUAUGGCAAAAGCUUGAGCCAUGCUUGGAAGUGUGUUCAUCAUGAGAAUGCUGCCUCUGACAGUCGUAUAUAUCUCAUUCAAUCCCAUUAGAAAAUGUAUCAAUCUUCUGUCUUGUUCAGCCUUGUGUAAUUUGCUUUUACCCCCACAAAUGCACACACAAGUACACUGAGAAUUGACAUCAAUGGUACUCAUUUCCUCCCACAACUUCUUCAUUCUUGUGUAAUAUCCAGUGAUGUCUAAAGUGCCUUGGACCAGAUCAUUAAUUUCCUUCUGCAGUUGAUACAAUUUACACCCAUUGGUUUGAUCGUACCUUUCUUCUAGUUCUCCCCAAAGCUCCUGAGCAUUAUUGACAUACUGCAGACUAUCACGCAAAUCUGGUGACAAGGAAUUCAGGAUCCAAGAUGUGACCAUAUCAUCACACCUUUCCCAUUGCUGAAAGCUAGGAUCAGUAGGAUCAGGUCUCACAACCUUCCCAUUAAUGAAUCCUGUCUUGCUCUUAACAGAUAAAGCCCUGAGAACUGCUCUUCUCCAGGAUCUGUAACCAGUUCCAUCAAAAACUGCAGGUAAUAGGGAUGAACUUGCAUUCUCAGAUGGAUGCAAGUAGAAAGGACUAGGGAUUUCUACCCUAACAGUGGAUGCAGAAGCAUUUGGAAUGGAAUCAUUUGAAGAAUCGACCAUUGUGAAUUGAAAAUUGGGAAGAAGAUCAAGUCGAGAACAACCAGAUCAAACAGCGUUCACAAACAAAAUUGACAGAUCGAAGAUCCAGUCGAGAUCAACCAGAUCAAAGAAAAAAUUCACAUAAGAGAAAACGAAGCUCACAGAUUGAAUUGGAAACAAAAAAAAACAGGAGCAAUUCCCUGUGCUUUGAUACCAUGAUGAAAUCAGCUACUGAUCAGUCAAGCUCCUCCAUUGAUGUAGCUUCAACUCACAUGAGAAAAGAUGAGAGAAGAAGAGAGAAGAGAAGAGAAGAAGAAUCUAGAAGAGCAACAUGAAAAUUAUCUCUCAUUGAAUGUGAAUUAAAGAAGUGAGUAUUACAAUGUAUCUGUAUAUAUACACAAUCACUAAGCAACUAAUAAUCAUUGGCAGAAAUUAACUAACUAACAAACUUGAUUCUAACUAACUCUACUGUACAUAACCGACUCUACUGUACAUAACUAACUAAUUAUACUUUAUAUUCUCAUCAAUAUCCCUUUUUUCAAAUUUCAUAGCUGAACUACUAGGUGUGCGAGUUCCUACCAGAACUAUUACCAACUAUUUAUCAAAACACACAUCAACUAUAUAUGAGUUGUUCCCUUUUACUAGUGGUGAAAAAUAGGUGGAUUUGGACGGGACUGAAAAUGGAUUGAGCAACAUGGUCGUAACUCACUUUAAUCUCUUAAAGCCAGAAAACUUUAAAGAGUUAAUUGAAAUAAACUUAAUGACUAUCCUACUUGAAGUAUCACCAUCGUUCAGGUAAGAAAAAGGAAGUAAAUCAAGGAAGACGAUGUCUUACAAAGCCUGAUGGAUAUGGACCUCGAUAGAACCUCCAUAGUUGUCUUGAAUGUCCUGUUGAAUCUGCUUUGCGGAAUUCCCAACAGAUUCUGGGCAGUUUCUUAUAUCAAUUAGAGCAAGUGUGGUUAUAUCUGCAAAAUCUUGAGGGAUUGAGUCCAAAAACCUGCAACUAUCAAGAAAUAGUCGUUCAAGGCACGGAAAGUGAUCACAACUAGCUCUCCAGUACUGAAUAUGUGAUCUUUUAAGUAACAAGAACUUCAAAAAAGGAAACCCUUCCUCAGCUACUUCCCACUCCCUGCCUCUGCAUACACCCUGUGUUAGUUCAAGAAGUUCAAGUUUGGGCAAUUUUCCGACAACAAUGCUUAAAUCCUUCCAUGACAAGAAGAAAUUUCCUGUAAAAGUUAAAUUCUUAAGGUUUCGUGGAAAAGCAUCUGGAGGAGGUAAGAUCAAAGAUGGAACAACUUCUACAACAAGUGGAUUCCUUGUCUGAAAACACAUUCUCCUCUCCAAAAAGUAAGCAUUAUUUUGAGGAGGAAGACAAAAUGCUAGUUCCUCGAGAUGAUCUAAGUAGCGAAAAUCAUAGAGGUCUUUGUGACUAUGGAAGUCUUGUGGGAUGCCACGUACUUGCAACUCCUUUAAAUUGGGAAAUAGUCUAAAGAAAGAUGCAGUACAAUAGCUAGGAUUCCAUCCAAACAGAGAAUGUAAAUUUUUCAUAACCAAACUUUUCUCUGUAAGCUCAUGAUAUCGCAAGUAAUUCCGAUCCAAAUGAAGGUGCCUCAACUGUGGCAUAGUCAAAAUUUCUGAUGGUAAUAUCAAAGCAUGUUUACGAAGAUUAAUAACGAGUGGAAGGUAAAGUACCAAACUUUGCAGAUAGCAUAGGUUUGAUAUGGAUGUAGGAAUGUCUACUCUUGAUGAGAGAACAUCUUCUUCGGAUCCUAGAUAUUGCUCAACGUUAGGAUAAAUACGCAAAGCUAGGUGUCUUAAGUGAAUCAAAUAAAGUAUUUCACGGGGAAAAGUUAGACAGAUAUUAUCAGCAAGAUCUAGAACUCUUACUAGCUUGAACGGCAAGUACUCCCUCAUGCAACAUCGGAAUCUACCAAAUAAGAUAACAGAAUGAGCUUCACUGUUAAGGCACCUAACAUACUCUUUCUUAUUAUGGAUGCUGAUUCGACCUCGACUCUUAGACAAACACUGCAUAGAUUUCACACAUGGAUUUUGAUCAUUCUUACUUCCGAGAACAUUCACAAAAUUCAUGUUACGAGCUUCCAUCAUACAGAGUUCACGAGUCGUAUCAUGAAUUCCACAACACUUAAUUUUUCCAUCAAAAGUAGUACUUUCUAUGGAAAUUAAACUUCUAUCAAUAAGAUCUUGUAGGUACUUUUCUGCCACUUCUUCUAUGCUUUUCAUCUCUUCUACCUUCAAAAAUCCCUCUGUUUCCCACAAUAUCAUAAGUUUAUUGACAAAAAUCAGUUUAUCCUCUGGGAAGAUUGCGAAAUAUAAAAAGCAUGGUUUUAGGUGGUGAGGCAAGUAAUGGUAACUCAUUGCCAACACCCUCAUGCAUUGGACACCAACAUCUGUGCUUACUGCUGAACUUACAUUUUCAGCAACACUUUGCCACUCACUCAAUGCUUUGUCAAUUUUAGUGAGAAGUCCCGCGAUCACAACAAUUGCUAGAGGCAAUCCUCCGCAUUUCAAUGCAAUUUGCUUUCCAAGUUGUUCAUAUUCAGGGGAGAAAGAGUCUUUCGUAAAGACUUUUUCAUACAAUAAACUCCAACUUUCGUCAAAAUUCAUGAGGCGCAUGUGAUAAGGAGGCUUACCUGAGCUAGCAUAUUCAGCCACUUCCACAUUCCGAGUAGUCAAGAGUAUUCGGCUUCCAUUAUGAAAGUCUGGGAAACAUAUUUGUAUAUCAUCCCAAGCUUUUGUAGUCCAUAUGUCAUCAAUGACUACCAAAUAUCUCUCACCUUUUAGAAGCUUUUGUAGUCGAUCUGCUAGUUGCCCGUCAUGUAGCUGAUCAUAAGGUUUAUCACUUAUACAAGAAAGAAGGUCUAGGAAAACAUUUCUCACACAAUACUCUUGUGAAACAGUAGCUUUAGCACGAAUGUCAAAACGAUACAUCAUGCAUGGAUCGUUGUAGAGUUUCGUAGCCAAAGUUGUCUUGCCAAUGCCUCCCAUACCUACAAUUGAUACAACUGCUAGUUCUCUUUCUCCUCUAGCAAGUUGAUCCAGCAUCAUCUUGAAUUCAUUUUCAUAGCCAACCAUUAUAUCCUCGGACCGCUCAACAGCACGUUCAGGUAUCUUGGAUAGACAAAAAUUUUGUGCUUUGAAAUCUUUAAAGUUGUUGUACCAGUCCCAUAUUGCCAACCACUGCAUCAUGAAGGAAUCAAUGCAUUCUACCUCUUGUUCCAAGGAACAACAGAGUUCCCAGAAAGCUUUGCUUCGUGUAAUUACAGUUUCUGCGGAAGAAACUUUUCUUGAUUUCGAAUCAACCAUGUCUUCUGCUUUGUAUGCUACCUCCGCGAUUUCAACUUCCAAGGUUGUUAACCCCUCAUGAUCUCCCGUUAUAUUGCAGGAUUUCUCCAUAAUAGCUCUCAAAGAUUCAAGCUUUUCAUAGAAUGGUUGCAAAUCACAUCCAGUAAGUUCCAUUGACUGGUGUAUGGUUCUCAUAAGGGAAGUAACAGCAGCAUAAGCCAUAUAUCCAAAAAAUAGGAAUCUCUCACACUCAGUAUGAAAAUGGACAAAUUAAUUGCCACAAGUUAUGUAAUCUUUCUUUUACUAACUAUUUCCAUCACAUUUCUAGCUAGGUCCACUAACAGGUAAAGUAGAAAGAUGUGAGGUCCCUAACCUUAUCAUCAUGUAGACAAAAGAAGAGACCAAAGUUUUUAAAAAAAAGACAGGAAAAAGUAGAAAAAUUUGUGAUCAUUCAUUAUUAGACCCUACACUAAUCUCUUUAGAAAAAUAAACUAAAAUUUUAGUUUAAAUAAAGGAGUUCAAGCUGUAUAUUGAUAACGCCCAAUUCAAAUUCAAGUGUAGUACGGUCUAGCAAUAAUAAACUCAACAAAUGUUGGGGUCGAGGAGUAUGCUUGUGUCAAGGUGACAGAGAAUGCGAAUUUGCGAAUUUCCUAAGCUUAUCUACAAAUAAAAGGUCUUUCUUUUAGCUAGGUCCAUAAUCCAUGUAGUGCUCUCUACUCUCUAGUCUCUAUCAACCAACUCAAGUUUAAGGGUGUGUUUGGUAUGGAGGAAACAUUUUCUCUAGAAUAGGGAGAGUUUUGUGCAUAAACAAAGAAGAAUAUCUCAGUAUAACAGUGAAUGUGUAUUUUUUUUAUGAUUUGCUUCAUUUGAGUAUGACUUUUGUAAGAAAAUUCUGGUAAAAGUUUAAAAAAUGAUCUUGUGGAAUAAGCACAGUGAAUUCCUUAAUAUUCGAGUAGAAAAAGCCAGGGAGGAUAACAUUGCUAUUUGUACACUUAUCGUGACACGAGUAGUCUCUUAAAUAUUACACCUUUCUACUGGUGUUGCUGGUGCCACUGAAUUUAGCCUUCCGUCUUCCUUUGCGAGGUAGAUUGAGGACUCCCAAGAAAGGAAACACAAGGUACUGGAGUCUGUUCCGGCCUCUACAGUAUGUAUGUACAUAAAAUUUGGAGUAACUAAAAAACCACUGACAAAUGGCUAUACGAAAGAUCAUAUACAAUUUAAUUACAAGCCAUUUGCAAUCAUCCUGCCCCUUUAUGCAGAAUCUUUUCAAAGAAAAUGAAAACAAACACUCACACAUUUGGCUUCUGAUUGACAUUUAUUUCAGAGAACUGGCUAGUCCUCAGAACACCUUAACUACUCGCUGCAGAAAAAAAAAGACGCAAAAAAUGGAAAAUAAUAUGUUAGAUGUCCCAUAAUUAAGGAACAGGAGAACAUUAUAGCAAGAAUGAGCAUGCAGGUAUAAGAACUUACACAUUAUUGCGGCAAGAAGCAACUUCUUUCUCAAAGUCAAUAUCAUCAUCUUCAUCUAUUGUUACACUACAUCGAAAAUGCUUGCUACAAAAGAUGAAAAAUGAAAUGUUACACUUCCCAAAAUCAAGAAUGAGCAUGCAAGUAUAACAACUUACACAAUAUUGGAAGGAUUCGAAUCAAUCACAAUGACAGCAUCAAGAACUUUUGUUGAAUUGGUGUAAUUUGACUUACUAAAGCUAUUAUCCAGAUUAUUAUCGAGUUUACUAUAAUGAUGAGUUAAAUAUUGUUGUAAAUCAAGGAAGAAGAUGUACUUACUAAAGAUUACGAGUAUGGACCUCGAUAGAGCUUCCAUAGUUGUCUUGAAUGUCCUGUUGAAUUUGCUUGGCGGAAUUCCCAACAGAUUGUUGACAGUAACUUAUAUCAAUAAGAGCUAGUGUGGUUAUAUCUGCAAAAUCUCGAGGGAUUGAAUCCAAAUAAUAGCAACUUCUAAGAAAAAGUCGUUCAAGGUACGGAAAGUGAUCACUACUAGCUCUCCAGUACCGAAUGCAUACUUCAUGCAGAAACAAGAACUUCAAGUGAGGAAACCCUUCCUCAACUACUUCCCACUCCUCGCCUAUGAAGGAUUUCCAUGAUAGUUUAAGGACCUCGAGUUUGGGUAAUUUACCAACAAUGCUCAAAUCCUUCCAUGCCAAAAAGAAUUCUCCGCUAAAAGUUAAACUCUUAAGGUUUUGUGGAAAAGCAUCCGGAGGAGGUAAGCGUAAAGUUGAAACAUCAGUUGGAGGUGCAGUUGCCCUGAAAGGUAAGAGUAAACUUGUAUAAAGUUGAACAACUAGCCACAUGAGUCCUACAUGACACAAUACACAUAAGACACCAACUAUUUCCAUCACAUUUCCAGCUAGGUCCACUAACAGGAUAAAGUAGAAAGAUGUGAGGUCACUAACCUUAUCAUCAUGUAGACAAAAGAAGAGACCAAAGUUAAAAAAAAAAAAGACAGGAAAAAGUAGAAAAAUUUGUGAUCAUACAUUAUUAGACCCUACACUAAUCUCUUUAGAAAAAUAAGUUUCAAUAAAGGAGUUCAAGCUGUAUAUUGAUAACGUCCAAUUCAAAUUCAAGUGUAGUACGGUCUAGCAAUAAUAAACUCAACAAAAGUUGGGGUCGAGGAGUACACUUGUGUCAAGGUGACAGAGAGUGUUCUGGCCUAUACAGUAUGUAUGUAUGUACAUAAAAUUUGGAGUAUCUAAAGAACCACUGACAAAUGGCUAUACGAAAGAUCAUAUACAAUUAAAUUACAAGCCAUUUGCAAUCAUCCUGCCACCUUAUGCAGAAAAAAUGAAAAUUCUGAUUUGACAUUUAUUUCAGAGAACUGGCUAGUCCUCAGAACACCUUAACUACUCGCUGCAGAGAAAAAAAAAAGACACAAAAAAUGGAAAAUAAUAUGUUAGAUGUCCCAUAAUUAAGGAACAAGAGAACAUUAUAGCAAGAAUGAGCAUGCAGGUAUAAGAACUUACACAUUAUUGCGGCAAGAAGCAACUUCUUUCUCAAAGUCAUCUUCAUCUGUUGUUAUAUCGAAAAUGCUUUCUACAAAAGAUGAAAAAUGAAAUGUUACACUUCCCAAAAUCAAGAAUGAACAUGCAAGUAUAACAAGUUACACAAUAUUGGAAGGAUUCAAAUCAAACACAAUGACAGCAUCAAGAACUUUUGUUGAAUUGGUGCAAUUGGACUUACUAAAGCUAUUAUCCAGAUUAUUAUCGAGUUUACUAUGAUGAUGAGUUAAAUAUUGUUGUAAAUCAAGGAAGAAGAUGUCUUACAAAAGAUGACGAGUAUGGACCUCGAUAGAGCUUCCAUAGUUGUCUUGAAUGUCCUGUUGAAUUUGCUUGGCGGAUUUCCCAACAGAUUGUCGACAGCUACUUAUAUCAAUAAGAGCUAGUGUGGUUAUAUCUGCAAAAUCUGGAGGGAUUGAAUCCAAAUCAUAGCAAUUUCUAAGAAAAAGUCGUUCAAGGUACGGAAAGUGAUCACUACUAGCUCUCCAGUACCGAAUGUAUAUGUUAUCCAGAAACAAGAACUUCAAGUGAGGAAACCCUUCCUCAACUACUUCCCACUCCUCGCCUAUGACGGCAUUGUCUGAUAGUUUAAGGACCUCGAGUUCGGGUAAUUUACCAACAAUGCUCAAAUCCUUCGAUGCCAAAAAGAAUUCUCCGCUAAAAGUUAAACUCUUAAGGUUUUGUGGAAAAGCAUCCGGAGGAGGUAAGAGUAAAGUUGGAACAUCAGCUGGAGGUGCAGCUUUCCCGAAUUGUGUCUUUUUGUACAAUAAUUUCGUCUGAAACCUCAGAGGAUCUUGCGGAGUAGAACCUGAAGGUGCAGUGCUUUCUAGAACGCAAGCAGCACCUGGAUAAUAAACACGAAAUGCCAAUUUCUCGAGCUGAUAUAAGUAGCGAAAAUCAUACAGGUCCUUGUGAUUGCGAAAGUCCUCUUGGACGCCAAAUACUUUCAACUUCUUUAAAUUGGGAAAUAGUCUAAAAAAAGACCCUGUACAAUUCCGAGGAUUCAAUUGAUUGAGACAUUGCAAACUUUUCAAAACCAAUCUGUUCUCUGUAGGCUCAUGACUCCGCAAGUAAUUCCAGCCCAUACGCAGCUUCCUCAAUUGUGGCAUCGUCAAAAUUUCCGAUGGUAAUAUGAAAGGAUAACUAUCGGUAAAUGGAAGGUAAAGUUUAAAAGUUUGCAGAUAGCAUAGGCAUGAUAUCGAUAGAGGAAUGUCUAUUAUUGAUGAGGGAACAGCUUCUAUCGAUCCUCGAUACUGCAGUAAGCAAGGAUUAAAACACAAAGAUAGGUAUCUCAAAUGAAUUAGAGAAAGUACUCCACUGGGAAAAAUUGGGCAUGGAGUCCAACCAAGAUCUAGUACUCUUACUAGCUUGAAAGACAAUUCCAGUGUGAUGCAAUUGAAUCCACGCAACAUGAUAAUAGAAUGAGCCUCACUGUUACGACACCAAGCCAAUUCUUCCUCCUUAUAGAUACUGAUCCGACUUCGCUUCUUAAAGGAACACUGCAUGGAUUGUGCACAUGAAUUUUGAUCACUCUUUCCUCUGAUAACAUUCACAAAAUUCAUGUUUCGAGCUUCCCUCAAACAGAGUUCACGGGUCACAUCAUGCAUUCCACAGCUCUGUAUUUCCCCAUCAAAACUCAAUUUGUGGAUAGAAAUUAGACUUCUAUCUACAAGUUCGUUUAUACAUGUUUCUGCCACCUCUUCUAUGCUUUUUCCCUCUUCUUCAUUCAAAAACCCCUCUACGGCCAAUAACUCAACAAGUUUAUUUACAAAAAUCCGUUCAUCCUCUGCGAAAAUUGCAAAAUACAGAAAACACGGUUUUAGGUGAGAAGGCAAGUGAUGGUAACUCAAAGCCAACACUCUCAUGCAUUGUGCUUCAGGAUCUGUGCUUACCACCGAACUUACAUUCUCCGCAAUUCUUUGCCACUCAUCUAAUCUUUGACCGAUUUUGGAGAGAAGUCCAGCAGUCACAGUAAUUGCUAGAGGUAAUCCUCCACAUUUUAAUGCAAUUUGUUUCCCAAUAUUUUCAAAUUCAGGAGAAUAAGAACCUUCUUUUUCAAAGAUCUUUUUGUGUAGUAAAUUCCAACUUUCGUCAAAAUUCAUGAGGCGCAUGUGAUGAGGAGGCUUACCUGAACUAGCAUAUUCAGCCACUUCCACAUUCCGAGUAGUCAGGAGUAUUUUGCUUCCAUUAAUACA
RNAcentral lists this long non-coding RNA (38003 nucleotides) under Solanum tuberosum (potato). RNAcentral's name for it is "long non-coding RNA (STUB_LNC011107)". Lineage: Eukaryota; Viridiplantae; Streptophyta; Magnoliopsida; Solanales; Solanaceae. The record is from RNAcentral.